RNAcentral lists this ribosomal RNA (122 nucleotides) under Duganella sp. BJB476. RNAcentral describes it as "partial 16S ribosomal RNA". It matches the Rfam family "Bacterial small subunit ribosomal RNA", at positions 1 to 118 of the family's 1533-position model. Lineage: Bacteria; Pseudomonadati; Pseudomonadota; Betaproteobacteria; Burkholderiales; Oxalobacteraceae. RNAcentral also lists the same sequence under 1 other name. The record is from RNAcentral.
AGAUUAAACUGAAGAGUUUGAUCCUGGCUCAGAUUGAACGCUGGCGGCAUGCCUUACACAUGCAAGUCGAACGGCAGCGCGGGGCAACCUGGCGGCGAGUGGCGAACGGGUGAGUAAUAUAU